GGUUAACCUAAAAUUUAUCUCCUUCGAUAAACAACUAAGGACGACUCCUUCCGCCAGCGGAGAACUAGCCGAAUGGUAAUUGAAUUAGUUAAAAGGAAGUUGCAAGAUUAGAAAAUGAAACCUAGAAGGGCAACACCACACUGGAGUCACACUCCCCACCUAGAUUCAAAAAGCUACCCAAUCCAAAAUAGAAACAGAAUAGGGGAGUUGAGAAGCAAAACGCCAAAUGCAUCGAAAGGGCCAGGAUUAGCGCCGAAUGAACUGGGAAAGGCAUGGUAGGGACAUGAGCAUCUUAUUCUCCUAUAGCCUCGACAGACGAUGAGCAACCAGACCCAUAAGCACUGCCGAACAGCUAGUUGACAAGGAAACUCCCUAACGUCAAAAACAAAACCAUCAUGUGCUGAUCUGCACCAAAAUCCUCACAAUGAAGCACAAUACCAGUAGAUGAACAGAGAGCAAGACCAAUCAAAACUAUACACAAGUCAACCAAAAGGUGAGAGGGAGAUCCACCCUU
RNAcentral lists this unclassified non-coding RNA (514 nucleotides) under Hevea brasiliensis (rubber tree). Lineage: Eukaryota; Viridiplantae; Streptophyta; Magnoliopsida; Malpighiales; Euphorbiaceae. The record is from RNAcentral.